Small nucleolar RNA from Ipomoea nil (Japanese morning glory), 77 nucleotides. It matches the Rfam family "Small nucleolar RNA R12". From Rfam's summary of the family: snoR12 is a C/D box small nucleolar RNA, which acts as a methylation guide for 25S ribosomal RNA in plants. snoR12 has been alternatively named snoZ44 in Arabidopsis and snoZ131 in rice. Lineage: Eukaryota; Viridiplantae; Streptophyta; Magnoliopsida; Solanales; Convolvulaceae. The record is from Rfam.
GGGAGUAUGAUGAAAGAAACAGACGGAUUCCCAUUGAUUUUAAUCGUGAGAACAACAACCAGCUACUUCUGACUCCU